CGAAAAGCGAAGUGAAAACAUACGUAUUCUCCAUCUUUACGAAGUGCUCUCAUUGUCUAAUUAAUUAAUUACCUCCCAUCAAAGGAAUACAGGAGAAAUGAAUGUUUUUGAAAUUCAGGAAACUGUUGCUGAUCGGCAGAAAAACUACGAAAUUGAUGUUGUAUUCCUUGAACUGUAUGGGCUUGACGAGUUGCUAAUAUUAACAAGACGUACAUUCUGACUGGUAGAAGAAUUUGGUUGUGACUGCACUGGAACUACUGAUGUAGCGACAGAUUGUAAGUGUAAUUGUGAUUGGGA
This is a long non-coding RNA of Centruroides sculpturatus (bark scorpion), 297 nucleotides long. RefSeq lists it as uncharacterized. The record is from RefSeq and is a predicted model, not a curated record. NCBI's taxonomy places the organism in Eukaryota, Metazoa, Arthropoda, Arachnida, Scorpiones, Buthidae. The transcript has 3 exons.